RNAcentral lists this ribosomal RNA (497 nucleotides) under uncultured bacterium. RNAcentral's name for it is "partial 16S ribosomal RNA". It matches the Rfam family "Bacterial small subunit ribosomal RNA", at positions 28 to 507 of the family's 1533-position model. The record is from RNAcentral.
GAUGAACGCUGGCGGCGUGCCUAAUACAUGCAAGUCGAGCGAACGGACGAGAAGCUUGCUUCUCUGAUGUUAGCGGCGGACGGGUGAGUAACACGUGGAUAACCCACCUAUAAGACUGGGAUAACUUCGGGAAACCGUAGCUAAUACCGGAUAAUAUUUUGAACCGCAUGGUUCAAAAGUGAAAUACGGUCUUGCUGCCACUUAUAGAUGGAUCCGCGCUGCAUUAGCUAGUUGGUAAGGUAACGGCUUACCAAGGCAACGAUGCAUAGCCGACCUGAGAGGGUGAUCGGCCACACUGGAACUGAGACACGGUCCAGACUCCUACGGGAGGCAGCAGUAGGGAAUCUUACGCAAUGGGCGAAAGCCUGACGAAGCAACGCCGCGUGAGUGAUGAAGGUCUUCGGAUCGUAAAACUCUGUUAUUAGGGAAGAACAUAUGUGUAAGUAACUGUGCACAUCUUGACGGUACCUAAUCAGAAAGCAACGGCUAACUACGUG